This 336-nucleotide unclassified non-coding RNA is filed under the name soil metagenome. RNAcentral's name for it is "partial contains 5.8S ribosomal RNA, internal transcribed spacer 2, and large subunit ribosomal RNA". The stretch from base 1 to 120 matches the Rfam family "5.8S ribosomal RNA", at positions 35 to 154 of the family's 154-position model. The record is from RNAcentral.
GAUGAAGAACGCAGCGAAAUGCGAUAAGUAGUGUGAAUUGCAGAAUUCAAUGAAUCAUCGAAUCUUUGAACGCACAUUGCGCCCCUUGGUAUUCCAUGGGGCAUGCCUGUUCGAGCGUCAUUUGUACCUUCAAGCUUUGCUUGGUGUUGGGUGUUUGUCUCGCCUUUGCGUGUAGACUCGCCUUAAAAUAAUUGGCAGCCGGCGUAUUGAUUUCGGAGCGCAGUACAUCUCGCGCUUUGCACUCAUAACGACAGCGUCCAAAAGUACAUUUUACACUCUUGACCUCGGAUCAGGUAGGGAUACCCGCUGAACUUAAGCAUAUCAAUAAGCGGAGGA